This 54-nucleotide transfer RNA is filed under the name Physaloptera rara. RNAcentral describes it as "tRNA-Cys". The record is from RNAcentral. Lineage: Eukaryota; Metazoa; Nematoda; Chromadorea; Rhabditida; Physalopteridae.
GGAUAAAUAGUAUAAGUGGUAUUUUUAAUUGCAAAUUAAAAGGUUUUUUGUCCU